GAGGAGAGCCUUUGGGCACUGAGGUUUGUGACCGAAGCAUGCGUAGAGGGCUGUAGUCUCAGACCAGAAUGUUCACCAGGAACUCUGAGCCAAUAGAAUCGCUUGUUGUUGAGUUUUGUCAACAGGCUUUCAUAUUAACCAAUCAGAUGAGGACAACCCCCGGAAAAUAAUGGAAUGUGGCAUCUGAGACUUGUAAACACUCUCCAGCAGGUAAAAAGGCUUAAAACAGUCAAGAGCCAGCUCAGAGUGGCGUUGGCACAUAUAGGAUUACACAAACCGUGUGGAUUGUUUUACUAUAACAUGGAUUAUUAUGACCAUAAACCAGCAAAGGAUUAAGUGACACUUUGUAUUGUGGCAGAAUGGAAUGACUGUCUCCACCUAAAGCACAAGAAAGAAGAAAGAAGACCAAGAACUCUAUUAAAUAAUAAUUAAAUAACGUCUGUUAGUCCAAAUAAUCAUGUGAAGCCUAAUGUUCAAUCAAUCUGUGAAAUGAGAAUAUUAAUUACUUCAUAUUAUAAUCCUAUGAUGGUAUUUUAAUAAGUAAUAAAACUUUAAAUGUUUACACUAGCCUGAUCACACGUAAUGCUAAAGUCACAUUUCUUUUUUCUGAUCCAAUCAGAACCUUCCGGAUUUGACACGAGGCGUGGUUUUGUUGGUGCUUGUAUAAUCCCCUUUUGUUGUCAAAUUCUGAUUCGACAGUAAAUCAAAACAUCCAAAUUAUAAAACUAUGCGCCACGUCAUCUUAACUUCAGUUCAAAGCAUUCUAGAGAAGUUAUCGGAGUGGAAAAUCCGUAACUUUCCUCUUAAAGGUGAAAGAACCUAACGACAAGCUGCAUUAAAUCUGUUGCAUGUUCCACCUGUUGCAGCGGUUCCUUCAGAAUAAAAGCUGAACCAUCACGACCCCUUCAGGGUCUCGCUGACGCCAAUAAACUGUCGUGACCUGGGAGUAACUCAAGACUGGAGGGUCGGCAACCGCUGCAUAUCUACAGGCGUCGGUUCCAAGAGGGUCUAAGCUGGAUCCCCGACAUUCCGGAUCUAAACGGGGACUUCCGUUGGGGUACGUAGACCGACAGAUGGCGUCUCAAUGUAUGUUAUAAUCUCCAAACCAAAGCUCAGAGCGAAACACCCUCUCACUCCCACUCAGAACUAAUAGUCUCUCCAGAUUUGCUGGUUCUGAACAUAUUUCACACACACACACCAUCCUCAGUCUUACUCCACCUUAGUUACAUCAUACACAUAGUGUUUAAAGUUAGUCUUGUUUAAAUUGUUUAGAAAUAAAUCUUCUUAAACUUUAAAACUUGACUCUCUCUCUCGCUCGUCUCUGGGUUAAUACAAAGUGUUAUCUAAUCCCUGCAAUAAAAAGUUCCGAUCUUCUGGUUAAAGUAAUAAUCAAAGAUCCACCAAACUGAUUUCAUAUUUCCUAUGGAAUCUCACAUUUUAUGGGUCAUUAGUUAAGAUGUAACUAACGAAUCUUUACAGUAUUAACUCCAAGGAAAGAGAGUCAGGUUUAAAAUAGUUAAGAAAUGUAUCUCUACAUAAUUUAAACAAGACUAACUUAAACACUCUGUGUACUGAUGGAACUAAAGUGGAGUGAGACGUGGUGAAUGAUGAUGGUGUGUGUGUGUGUGUGUAAUGUUAUUCAGAACCAGCGGAUCCGGAGAAGCAGUUCGUUCUGAGUGGGAAUGAAUGUUUCGCUCUAAACUUUAGUAGGGGAUUUAUAACACAUGAAACGCCAUCUGUCGGUCUACGUACCCCAGGGGAACCUCCGAUUAGAUCCAGAAUGCUGAGGUCCUCUUGGACCCUCUUUGGUACCGAAGCCGGUAGAAAAGCAGCGGUGCCGACCAAACUAGUCUUGGAAUGCUUCCAGGUAAUGACAGGUUAUCACUGGCGUCUCCGAGACCCUGAAGGGGUCGUGAGGUUCAGCUUUUAUUCUGAAGGAACCGUUGUAGUCAGGUGUAACUUGCAACAGAUUUUAUCCAGCUUGUCGAGGUUCUUUUGGCUGAAGAGGAAGUCCGGAUGGCCUGUACGAGACUUCUCUAGAACGCUUUAACUAAAGAAAAGGUGGCGUGGGAUAGUUUUUAUAACUAUCACAUUUUGGUUUACUGGCGAAUCAGAAUUUGACAUGAAAAAGAGGGUUUAUACAGACACCACAGAAAACCAGGCCUUGCGCCAGAAUGCGAAGGUUCCGAUUGGGUCAGACAAAAGGAAAUGUGUCAUGUGGCUUUAGCAAUGCGUGUCAUUAGUGUCUAGUGCAAAUGUCCAAGAUUAUAAUUACUUGUAAAAUACUACUGAUCACAGGAUUAUAAUAUCAAGUAAUAACAUUGUUAUUUCACAGAUUGAUUGAACAUUGGGCUCACAUUAUUAUUGGUAAUAACAAAGUUGUUGAUUAUGUAUUUAUCAAAAUAGUUCUUCCUCUUCAUCUUGGUAACAAAGGUGAAGCAGUUCAGAUGAACAGAGUGCAUGAAAGACCUUGGCCACUAUCUCAUGUAGAUUAGCCUGUCAGAGACUUUAUGUCUCUGCUCGAGCAGACGCAGCAGAUCGUGACCUUUAGGUCAUAAACAGGACAUUCAUGACUCUACAUUUCUGUGUGCUAAUCUCGACGUGUAUUUAGCGUUUUGCUGUUAUUUUUUAGAUAUAGACACCUUUGACAGUAAUUCUUGCAAUGACUGGGAAGAAAACAGCUUCACCAGCAUCAAUUUAGACCAGGAAAGAACUCAAAGUCAUUCAUUCACUUCUUCACAAUAAGUGGAUUCACUUUGCCCUCAGAGAGGUAUUUACAUUGGCACAAUCAUUUCUCUCACUAAUGUCGGGCCGGUGAGACUCACCCAUUGUGCUCUGAAUCACUGACUGGUGGUUGCGCACUUCCUUCACAAAAUAAACGUUCCUUGUUGAGAAAACCAAGUGCCAAAAAAGA
This is a long non-coding RNA of Nothobranchius furzeri (turquoise killifish), 2914 nucleotides long. RefSeq lists it as uncharacterized. The record is from RefSeq and is a predicted model, not a curated record. NCBI's taxonomy places the organism in Eukaryota, Metazoa, Chordata, Actinopteri, Cyprinodontiformes, Nothobranchiidae.